GUCGAGCAGUGCCCGCGGUGGUCGUUCAGAAGCCUAGCAGCAAACUGCUUGGCCGAGAGGGAGGGGCACCCAGCGGCCGUGCCCUUUGACUUGACCUCUGUUCUGCGGACUAGCGGACCGAGUAGCCAAGAAGAAAGCCGGGAACAGGGUAGUCGGCUGACCUGACAGAAAAACUGGCGGCUGUCACUAAUGGAAGUGCAGUGUAAUAGAAGUCAGAGACACAGUCACCACAACCCAGAGUCCGCGAGCCUGCUACUGUGGAGAUAGUACUAUCGCUCAACCAUGCUUUUGUUCAUCCCUGAAGGGACUUCCCGCUCUGGUGGCUCUCAACUCUUCCGAAGACAGCAUGCAUGUCUAAAAAUUUUAGCUAAUUAUGAUGCAUUCAUAAAAUUGAUAAUCUGCAACCCUCCACCCUCCCUCCACCAUUGCUCACCACACAUUUCCUUUUAAAAAUACAAAAAUGUUAAAGACCUUAAA
Long non-coding RNA from Arvicola amphibius (Eurasian water vole), 477 nucleotides. RefSeq lists it as uncharacterized. NCBI's taxonomy places the organism in Eukaryota, Metazoa, Chordata, Mammalia, Rodentia, Cricetidae. The record is from RefSeq and is a predicted model, not a curated record. The transcript has 2 exons.